AUUGAACGCUGGCGGCAUGCUUUACACAUGCAAGUCGAACGGCAGCGCGGGGCAACCUGGCGGCGAGUGGCGAACGGGUGAGUAAUAUAUCGGAACGUACCCAGAAGUGGGGGAUAACGUAGCGAAAGUUACGCUAAUACCGCAUACGAUCUACGGAUGAAAGUAGGGGACCGCAAGGCCUUAUGCUUUUGGAGCGGCCGAUAUCUGAUUAGCUAGUUGGUGAGGUAAAGGCUCACCAAGGCGACGAUCAGUAGCUGGUUUGAGAGGCGGACCAGCCACACUGGAACGGAGAACCGGCCCAACCCCCUACGGGGGGCGGCAGGGGGGAUUUUUGGAAAAUGGGCGAAAGCCUGACCCAGAAAUGCCGGGGGAGUGAAGAAGGCUUUCGGUUUUAAAAGCCUUUUUUUCAGGAAAAAAACGGUAGGGGCUAAUAUCCUUUGCUAAUGACGGUCCCUAAAAAAUAAGCCCCGGCUAACUCCGU
RNAcentral lists this ribosomal RNA (481 nucleotides) under uncultured bacterium. Its description in RNAcentral is "partial 16S ribosomal RNA". It matches the Rfam family "Bacterial small subunit ribosomal RNA", at positions 30 to 506 of the family's 1533-position model. The record is from RNAcentral.